RNAcentral lists this ribosomal RNA (497 nucleotides) under uncultured bacterium. RNAcentral's name for it is "partial 16S ribosomal RNA". It matches the Rfam family "Bacterial small subunit ribosomal RNA", at positions 28 to 507 of the family's 1533-position model. The record is from RNAcentral.
GAUGAACGCUGGCGGCGUGCCUAAUACAUGCAAGUCGAACGAACGUUCGCUACCCUGUCUUUGCACUUAUUAGCAGCGAAGAGUGGAGGAAGACGGAGAAAACCUACCUUAAACUAUCCAAUAACGUGGGAAAACAGUUGCUAAUAGGUGCUAAUAUUGUAUACCGGUUUAUGCCGCAGUGCAUGACGGUCUUACGGUCACUUGUGUGUGGUUCCGCGGUGCAUUAGCUAGUUGGUAAGGUAACGGCUUACCAAGGCAACGAUGCAUAGCCGACCUGAGAGGGUGAUCGGCCACACUGGGACUGAGACACGGCCCAGACUCCUACGGGAGGCAGCAGUAGGGAAUCUUCCGCAAUGGGCGAAAGUCUGACCGAGCAACGCCGCGUGAGUGAAGAAGGUCUUCGGAUCGUAAAACUCUGUUAUUAGGGAAGAACAAAUGCGUUAGUAACUGUGCAUCCCUUGACGGUAUCUAACCAGAAAGCCACGGCUAACUACGUG